CUCUGAGGAACAUGAGUGCAGUGAAGAAGUUUCCCAUGAAGAUGAGGGGUUUCUGGGCAUGUCCCCUCUCCUGCAAGCCCAUCAAGCUAUGGAAAGAAUGGAAGAGUUUGUUUGUAAGGCCUGUUUAAAGAGUAUUUCAGAAUACACACAGUGACAGGCAACAUCUGGACACAUCUCUUAGAUUGUUGCCAGCAAAGGAGGUUUUGAAAUGGUCUCCAAAGAGAAGCAGUGGUCUAAAGUUGAUAGCUGCUUGGGAUAUCUGCCAGGAAAAGAAACUGGGUCUCUCUUCAGUGUCUCACU
Molecule: long non-coding RNA, 300 nt
Organism: Ochotona princeps (American pika)
Lineage: Eukaryota; Metazoa; Chordata; Mammalia; Lagomorpha; Ochotonidae
Exons: 3
Source: RefSeq, a predicted model, not a curated record